This 630-nucleotide ribosomal RNA is filed under the name uncultured delta proteobacterium. RNAcentral's name for it is "bacterial SSU rRNA". It matches the Rfam family "Bacterial small subunit ribosomal RNA", at positions 61 to 672 of the family's 1533-position model. Lineage: Bacteria; Deltaproteobacteria. The record is from RNAcentral.
GUCGCACGAGAAAGGGCUUCGGCCCCGGUAAAGUGGCGCACGGGUGAGUAACACGUGGGUAAUCUUCCCUCGAGCGGGGGAUAACAUUCCGAAAGGAGUGCUAAUACCGCAUAAGACCACGGACUCGAAAGAGUCUGCGGUCAAAGCUGGCCUCUGUAUACAAGCUAGCACUUGAGGAUGAGCCCGCGGCCCAUCAGGCAGUUGGCAGGGUAAUGGCCUACCAAACCUAAGACGGGUAGCUGGUCUGAGAGGAUGAUCAGCCACACUGGAACUGAGACACGGUCCAGACUCCUACGGGAGGCAGCAGUGGGGAAUCUUGCGCAAUGGACGAAAGUCUGACGCAGCGACGCCGCGUGAGUGAUGAAGGCCUUCGGGUUGUAAAGCUCUGUGGGGAGAGAAGAAUUAGUGGAGGCUAAUCACUCCAUGAUGACGGUAUCUCCUUAGCAAGCACCGGCUAACUCUGUGCCAGCAGCCGCGGUAAGACAGAGGGUGCAAACGUUGUUCGGAAUUACUGGGCGUAAAGCGUGUGUAGGUGGCCGCGCAAGUCGGAUGUGAAAGCCCUGGGCUCAACUCAGGAAGUGCACCCGAUACUGCGUGGCUCGAGUACCGGAGAGGUUGGUGGAAUUCUCG